AGUUAGAAGGCCAAGUUCUAACUGUAGUUCAAGCUGUCCCAGAUCCAGCAGCUAUGGGAAAUAGUGAAAACCAAGUCCCUUUGUGCAAUCCCUGACCAUGCAAGGCCCCUUCUUAAGAGGCCAACAGUAAGUUCUGAAGCUAAAAAAUGUGUUCACUUCUGAAGGCGUUUCGUCUAUCUCUGAGCUG
Molecule: long non-coding RNA, 187 nt
Organism: Rhodamnia argentea
Lineage: Eukaryota; Viridiplantae; Streptophyta; Magnoliopsida; Myrtales; Myrtaceae
Exons: 3
Source: RefSeq, a predicted model, not a curated record